RNAcentral lists this ribosomal RNA (1083 nucleotides) under Vibrio sp. L9. RNAcentral's name for it is "bacterial SSU rRNA". It matches the Rfam family "Bacterial small subunit ribosomal RNA", at positions 382 to 1457 of the family's 1533-position model. Lineage: Bacteria; Pseudomonadati; Pseudomonadota; Gammaproteobacteria; Vibrionales; Vibrionaceae. The record is from RNAcentral.
CCUGAUGCAGCCAUGCCGCGUGUAUGAAGAAGGCCUUCGGGUUGUAAAGUACUUUCAGUUGUGAGGAAGGGGGUGUCGUUAAUAGCGGCAUCUCUUGACGUUAGCAACAGAAGAAGCACCGGCUAACUCCGUGCCAGCAGCCGCGGUAAUACGGAGGGUGCGAGCGUUAAUCGGAAUUACUGGGCGUAAAGCGCAUGCAGGUGGUUCAUUAAGUCAGAUGUGAAAGCCCGGGGCUCAACCUCGGAACUGCAUUUGAAACUGGUGAACUAGAGUACUGUAGAGGGGGGUAGAAUUUCAGGUGUAGCGGUGAAAUGCGUAGAGAUCUGAAGGAAUACCAGUGGCGAAGGCGGCCCCCUGGACAGAUACUGACACUCAGAUGCGAAAGCGUGGGGAGCAAACAGGAUUAGAUACCCUGGUAGUCCACGCCGUAAACGAUGUCUACUUGGAGGUUGUGGCCUUGAGCCGUGGCUUUCGGAGCUAACGCGUUAAGUAGACCGCCUGGGGAGUACGGUCGCAAGAUUAAAACUCAAAUGAAUUGACGGGGGCCCGCACAAGCGGUGGAGCAUGUGGUUUAAUUCGAUGCAACGCGAAGAACCUUACCUACUCUUGACAUCCAGAGAAGCCAGCGGAGACGCAGGUGUGCCUUCGGGAGCUCUGAGACAGGUGCUGCAUGGCUGUCGUCAGCUCGUGUUGUGAAAUGUUGGGUUAAGUCCCGCAACGAGCGCAACCCUUAUCCUUGUUUGCCAGCGAGUAAUGUCGGGAACUCCAGGGAGACUGCCGGUGAUAAACCGGAGGAAGGUGGGGACGACGUCAAGUCAUCAUGGCCCUUACGAGUAGGGCUACACACGUGCUACAAUGGCGCAUACAGAGGGCAGCGAACUUGCGAGAGUGAGCGAAUCCCAAAAAGUGCGUCGUAGUCCGGAUUGGAGUCUGCAACUCGACUCCAUGAAGUCGGAAUCGCUAGUAAUCGUAGAUCAGAAUGCUACGGUGAAUACGUUCCCGGGCCUUGUACACACCGCCCGUCACACCAUGGGAGUGGGCUGCAAAAGAAGUGGGUAGUUUAACCUUCGGGAGGACGCUCAC